UGCUGUUCGCGGAUCAAAUCAUGCUCACCAAACUUGCUGGAACCUUCGCGCCCGACGAUAUGGCCGAAGAUAUCCGGUUCAGUUUUGGGCCAGGCAAGAAUUACCGCCGCGAACUCGUCACCUAUGAUGUGGCGACGUCCCGCGUAGCCUUUGCGUCGCUCAAUGCUUUUCUUGCGGCCUGGCUCGUCAUCGACACGCUCUACUGGAUCGCGUAUUGGACGUUCUACCAAGGUGGCCGUAAGCAGUUUCU
RNAcentral lists this ribosomal RNA (250 nucleotides) under uncultured archaeon. RNAcentral describes it as "partial 16S ribosomal RNA". The record is from RNAcentral.